GGAAAUGUUUUCGUUUGACGCUGCGUGGGUUUGUGGGCGCUUGGCUUUUCUCUCUGUGGUUUUGAGAGUUAGCUUCUCGUGAACCGUUUGUCAAUAUGUGUGACGCACACGAGGUGCUUUGUAUUUACAAAAGAAAAAUAAUGAAGGAAAAGUCUGACGCUAAUCAGCUGGAGACACGGAGCAAAGAUAUGCAGCAUGAUGAGGAGGAGGAUGAAAUCCCCCAGAUUUGUGGCAAGAGGCAUGCUGGAUUGUAAUCAGCCAAGAUAUUUGCUGAAGUUUGAACAACUUUACCUCUCCAAGCCCAUAAGAGAUUGUGCUGCUUCACCAGUGUUGCCACGUGAAGCCAGAUUAAGAAAUCUCACCAACAGUCAUUAAAGAAGGUGAAGAACAACUUCAGAUGCAGCAUCAGAAAACUUUUAUUGGUAAAGUUCCAGUUAUGUUGCAUUCAAUUUACUGUCUACUAAAUGGCUUAGCAGAUCAUGAUCUUUGUGAGUUAAAUGGAUGCCUCUUGGAUCCUGAUGGCUACUUCAUUAUUAAUGGAUCAGAAAAGGUUCUGAUUGCUCAAGAGAAAAUGGCAACAAACAUAACCUUUGUGUUUGCCAAACAGGAUUCUAAAUAUGCCUACACAGGAGAGUGUAGAUCAUGUCUGGAGAAUUCUUCUGACCCACUAUCUGGGUUAGCAUGCUGGCAAGAGGAGGACAGGAAAAGCUGUGAAGACCAUCAAGCCCCAAACAAUAAAUUCCUGCUGGAGAAAACUGUGUCCAGAGGUGCCGACUUCACAGGAUUUAGGACAGAACCAAUCAAAGAAAUCAUGAAAGAGACUGCAGAUAUGGCAAAAAAAGGUUGGCGGUGAAGGGUUUCAAGAUGGGGAUCUCAGAGAAAUUCAAGAGCUAAUAGACAGGACUUCCCUGAUGGUCCAGUGGUAAAGAAUCUGCCUUACAAUGCAGGGUUCAAUCCCUGGUCAGGGAACUAAGAUCCCACAUGCCGCGGGGCAACUAAGCCCGCGUGCCACAACUAAUGAGGUCACGUGCCUCAGCUAGAGCCCGCGUGCCGCAAACUACAGAACCCAUGCACUCUGGAACCCCUGUGCCACAACUACAGAGCCCACGCGCCCUGGAGCCUGUGCACCACAACUAGAGAAGAGAAAACCCGCACGCCACAACUAGAGAGAAGCCCACACACCACAACAAAGAGCCCACGUGCCACAAUGAAGAGCCUGCAUGCCACAACUAAGACCCAGUGCAGCCAAAAAUAAAUUAAAUAAAUAAAUAAUAAAUAAAUCUUAAAAAAAAAAAAAGAGCUAAUAGACACCAUACCAGAGGAUUUAACAAGAGAUGACUUGGACAGGAGUGCUUCUGAACCAGUGCCAGACAAUGAGGAAAAAGACAUGGGAGAAGUAGUGACAGAAAACAAAUUGACAUUAGACACUCUGGCAGAAGGGUUCUGAUAAUUAAAAACUGCUUUUGACUUCUUUUACGACAUGGACCAUUCUAUGAUACUGGUGCUGAAACUAAAGCACACAGUGGAAGAAGGAUUAGUACUUUAUAGAAGCAUUUUUAGAAAAAUAUAAAAGCAAAAAUCUCAGAUAGAAAUGAGGAUGUAAGGACUUCCCUGGUGGCACAGUGGUUAAGAAUCCGCCUGCCAAUGCAGGGGACACAGGUUUCAGCCCUGGUCCGGGAAUAUCCCAUGUGCCACGGAGCAACUAAGCCUGUGCGCCACAACUACUGAGCCUAUGCUCUAGAGCCUGCAAGCCACAACUACUAAGCCCACAUGCCACAACUACUGAAGCCCAUGCACCUGGAUCUCGUGCUUCGCAACAAGAGAAGCCACUGCAAUGAGAAGCCUGCACACCGCAACAGAGUAGCCCCUCCUCGCCGCAACUAGAGAAAGCCUGUGCACAGCAACGAAGACCCAACGCAGCCAAAAAUAAAUAAAUAAAUAAAGUAAAUAAAUAGCUCCUCUAUACUACAUUUUAAAAAAAGGAAUUAGGAUGUAUUUUUGUCAAGUUACACCCCGUGUGCGUACCUCUCCUGCCUCCCCUCCCACCUCCUCCACCUCUUCCAUAACUGAGACAGCAAGACCAACCCUUCCUCUUUCUCUUCCUCCUCAGCCUACUCAAUGUGAAUCAAGACUACUAGGAUGAAGACCUUUGUGAUGAUCCACUUCUACUUAAUGAAUAGUAGACAGUCAUCAUGUGCUACAGUUAAUAAACUUAUCUGUUAUGUAUGUGUGUGAGUGUCUUUGUAUGAAAAUCUAAUAACUACUGCAAGAACCAUGAGACAUUGUGUCAUCACCAUCAUAUCAUCAUCAUUGCCUAAAUAUCAUCAUGUAGAAUAUCAGGUGCAAGACUUGUAUUGAAGUGGCUAGCCUACCUUAUAUAGGAAUAAGGUAAGUGAUACUUAAUAUAAAAUUAAUAAUGUUUUAGUUUUCCUACUGUUCUAUAACUUUGCUUUCAAAGUUAUAUACAUUACCAUACAGUAUGCCUCUCUCUUCCCUCCUAAUUGGAGAAACUGUGUAUCAGGAUGUCACCAUAGGUAAGUGGAUUUUUAAAAAUGUAACAGUGUUUCCAACACUGUAUUAUGAAUAUGACUGUAAUACUGUAUGCCAUAAAAUUUUUAUAAGGAUUC
Molecule: RNA transcript, 2627 nt
Organism: Balaenoptera ricei (Rice's whale)
Lineage: Eukaryota; Metazoa; Chordata; Mammalia; Artiodactyla; Balaenopteridae
Gene name: DNA-directed RNA polymerase II subunit RPB2-like
Exons: 7
Source: RefSeq, a predicted model, not a curated record